This 117-nucleotide ribosomal RNA is filed under the name uncultured bacterium. RNAcentral describes it as "partial 16S ribosomal RNA". It matches the Rfam family "Bacterial small subunit ribosomal RNA", at positions 1357 to 1482 of the family's 1533-position model. The record is from RNAcentral.
CUACGGUGAAUACGUUCCCGGACCUUGUACACACCGCCCGUCAGGCCAUGGAAGCUGGGUGUACCUAAAGUCGAUAACCGUAAGGAGUCGCCUAGGGUAAAACUAGUAACUGGGGCU